Molecule: ribosomal RNA, 1528 nt
Filed under: Klebsiella pneumoniae
Lineage: Bacteria; Pseudomonadati; Pseudomonadota; Gammaproteobacteria; Enterobacterales; Enterobacteriaceae
Description: bacterial SSU rRNA
Rfam family: Bacterial small subunit ribosomal RNA
Source: RNAcentral
AGAGUUUGAUCAUGGCUCAGAUUGAACGCUGGCGGCAGGCCUAACACAUGCAAGUCGAGCGGUAGCACAGAGAGCUUGCUCUCGGGUGACGAGCGGCGGACGGGUGAGUAAUGUCUGGGAAACUGCCUGAUGGAGGGGGAUAACUACUGGAAACGGUAGCUAAUACCGCAUAAUGUCGCAAGACCAAAGUGGGGGACCUUCGGGCCUCAUGCCAUCAGAUGUGCCCAGAUGGGAUUAGCUAGUAGGUGGGGUAACGGCUCACCUAGGCGACGAUCCCUAGCUGGUCUGAGAGGAUGACCAGCCACACUGGAACUGAGACACGGUCCAGACUCCUACGGGAGGCAGCAGUGGGGAAUAUUGCACAAUGGGCGCAAGCCUGAUGCAGCCAUGCCGCGUGUGUGAAGAAGGCCUUCGGGUUGUAAAGCACUUUCAGCGGGGAGGAAGGCGNUAAGGUUAAUAACCUUGGCGAUUGACGUUACCCGCAGAAGAAGCACCGGCUAACUCCGUGCCAGCAGCCGCGGUAAUACGGAGGGUGCAAGCGUUAAUCGGAAUUACUGGGCGUAAAGCGCACGCAGGCGGUCUGUCAAGUCGGAUGUGAAAUCCCCGGGCUCAACCUGGGAACUGCAUUCGAAACUGGCAGGCUAGAGUCUUGUAGAGGGGGGUAGAAUUCCAGGUGUAGCGGUGAAAUGCGUAGAGAUCUGGAGGAAUACCGGUGGCGAAGGCGGCCCCCUGGACAAAGACUGACGCUCAGGUGCGAAAGCGUGGGGAGCAAACAGGAUUAGAUACCCUGGUAGUCCACGCCGUAAACGAUGUCGAUUUGGAGGUUGUGCCCUUGAGGCGUGGCUUCCGGAGCUAACGCGUUAAAUCGACCGCCUGGGGAGUACGGCCGCAAGGUUAAAACUCAAAUGAAUUGACGGGGGCCCGCACAAGCGGUGGAGCAUGUGGUUUAAUUCGAUGCAACGCGAAGAACCUUACCUGGUCUUGACAUCCACAGAACUUUCCAGAGAUGGAUUGGUGCCUUCGGGAACUGUGAGACAGGUGCUGCAUGGCUGUCGUCAGCUCGUGUUGUGAAAUGUUGGGUUAAGUCCCGCAACGAGCGCAACCCUUAUCCUUUGUUGCCAGCGGUUAGGCCGGGAACUCAAAGGAGACUGCCAGUGAUAAACUGGAGGAAGGUGGGGAUGACGUCAAGUCAUCAUGGCCCUUACGACCAGGGCUACACACGUGCUACAAUGGCAUAUACAAAGAGAAGCGACCUCGCGAGAGCAAGCGGACCUCAUAAAGUAUGUCGUAGUCCGGAUUGGAGUCUGCAACUCGACUCCAUGAAGUCGGAAUCGCUAGUAAUCGUAGAUCAGAAUGCUACGGUGAAUACGUUCCCGGGCCUUGUACACACCGCCCGUCACACCAUGGGAGUGGGUUGCAAAAGAAGUAGGUAGCUUAACCUUCGGGAGGGCGCUUACCACUUUGUGAUUCAUGACUGGGGUGAAGUCGUAACAAGGUAACCGUAGGGGAACCUGCGGUUGGAUCACCU